Molecule: ribosomal RNA, 414 nt
Filed under: uncultured prokaryote
Description: bacterial SSU rRNA
Rfam family: Bacterial small subunit ribosomal RNA
Source: RNAcentral
GUGCCAGCCGCCGCGGUAAUACGGAGGGUGCAAGCGUUAAUCGGAAUUACUGGGCGUAAAGCGUGUGUAGGUGGUUCGUUAAGUCGGAUGUGAAAGCCCCGGGCUCAACCUGGGAACUGCAUUCGAUACUGACGGACUAGAGUUUAGCAGAGGAAAGCGGAAUUCCGGGUGUAGCGGUGAAAUGCGUAGAUAUCCGGAGGAACACCAGUGGCGAAGGCGGCUUUCCGGGUUAAAACUGACACUGAGGCACGAAAGCGUGGGUAGCAAACAGGAUUAGAUACCCUGGUAGUCCACGCCCUAAACGAUGUCGACUGGCUGUCGGGUUCAUUUGGAACUUGGUAGCGAAGCUAACGCGUUAAGUCGACCGCCUGGGGAGUACGGCCGCAAGGUUGAAACUCAAAGGAAUUGGCGGGG